UACGUAGGGGGCUAGCGUUGUCCGGAAUCAUUGGGCGUAAAGCGCGUGUAGGCGGCCCGAUAAGUCCGCUGUGAAAGUCCAGGGCUCAACCCUGGGAUGCCGGUGGAUACUGUCGGGCUCGAGUCCGGAAGAGGCGAGUGGAAUUCCUGGUGUAGCGGUGAAAUGCGCAGAUAUCUGGAGGAACACCGGUGGCGAGGGCGGCAUCCUGGACCAACACUGACGCUGAGUGAGCGAAAGCCAGGGGAGCAAACGGG
This 254-nucleotide ribosomal RNA is filed under the name uncultured bacterium. RNAcentral describes it as "partial 16S ribosomal RNA". It matches the Rfam family "Bacterial small subunit ribosomal RNA", at positions 524 to 776 of the family's 1533-position model. The record is from RNAcentral.